Molecule: long non-coding RNA, 2593 nt
Organism: Bos taurus (domestic cattle)
Lineage: Eukaryota; Metazoa; Chordata; Mammalia; Artiodactyla; Bovidae
Source: Ensembl
CCUGGUUCUAACACAGCGUGCUCACGUUUUCCCCACUUCCCUCCGCCCUCUAAUUACAUCACAUCACAUCAUCUAACCUAAGGCAGAGGGCUCCGUGGAGGAGGUGAUACCUGAGACGACUCUUCAGAAUGCACAGGUAUUAGCAGGUGAACAGACGAGGAAGACAGAGCAGCGCAGGCAGAGAUGGAGUCUGGGGCAGUGAAGUGGGCCUUUGGGAUCUUCUGAGACUGGUGCUGGAACCUGGAAAAGAAGGAGCCGUUAAAGGGCUUGGAGUACGAGAAAGACAUCAGAUUCACAUUUUUGAAAGACGCCAGCUCAGCACAGCCUGGUCCAGAGAACCUAUUACAUCACCGUCUACCUCCACUUCGUAACUGGAUAAAGAAGACAGGAUCUUCUCUUUUUAUUUUUUUCUUUCUCAUGGACUCGAAUACAAAGUUACAGACUAAGAUAUAACAACAUUCUGUUAAAAUGUAGAUGCCAAGGGUAGCUAGCUGUUCCAGCCUGGCAUCUCAACUUUGCAGGUAGACUCCUUUAAAGGAAACCACUUCCUUGAACUAUAGACUAUCGGAGAUCCAGCUAAGUGUUGGCACUCCUGAUGAGAGUCAAGCAAACAGGAUCUCAUAUAAAGGGAAACUUCUGUGUAAUAUGCCGCGUGGUCAAGCUGCUCUGACCUCCUGUGGCUUCAAAGCUCGUCUGCUCUAUUGCACAACCCACAACCUCGAGAACAAUCGGCUCUUCCUGCCAGCAGCUUCUCUGCGUCCACCUGUCCCUACAGGUAGUAAAAGAGAAGAAGGAUCAGGAAUCGGUGUUUACACAACACUGCAGAGCGCUCUCUUCCUCCUGGCCCUGCCCCACCCCCAAGUGAGUUCGAAGUUCAUUUCUGCUAAAAUGGGGGAGAGGUGAUUCAAAGAGCGAAGGCACGGAGAAAGAGGGAAAGGUUCAGAAAGAGGGAAGGGUUCAGAAAGAGGGAAGGGUUCGUGCGGCCAGAGGCCUGCCCUGACCUCGCCGCAGCGCAGAGGAACCCUUCCUGCCCACUCGGGACUCGUGAGAGGGACUCGCCUGCAGGAGGCAGCCAGGCUGCUCACUGGGGAGGCUCAGACAUCAGAUCAGAGGAGGUUUAGAGUCAGAACCCGCCCGACCCCCACCCCAUCUCCAGGAAACAGCUGCACCCAAUCAGCAGACCACCUGCCCCAGGACUUCGGGGGCCAAGAAAGUAGGUUGCACUUCACGGAGUUUUGUUUUAAUCCUGCCGCCUGGCUGUCUUCCUGCUCACAAGACUGGCACGCGUGACCACGGUAGGGCAGGCGGAUCAUCUGUUUCAAAGCCGUUUCCAUGUCAAGUCACUGUAUAGUCCUGCGGGCAUAUUCUCACACUCUGGGGUGCCUGACAUGGCUGCUGGUUUCACUAACAUCUGCAUCUGCUGAGAUCCCCUUGACGAGUGACAGUGACACAACAGGGAAGUGGCAGGUGGCCUCUGGAGACUGGGCUCUCCUAAGAGCCUGGGGUCAUGGGCCAGGGGCACUUCCGGGGCUCACCGGCCACAUGCCCGAGACCUCCGGGGUGGACGUCUUCCGGAGCAGAGACUGAUCAAGCUGGAGGCCUCCAAGGGGCCGCGCCUGCUUGCCCCUCCCUCACCUGGGCCACACCAGCCUUCUUGAUCCUCACAGGCCAGGCUGUCCCCCACUCCAGAGCUCUUGAAUGUGCUGCUCUCUGCGCCUGGAACCCGCCCCCAGGUGCCUCGGUAGACACACUCCUUUCCCAUCCUCCAGCUCUCAACUCGGAAAUCACCUCCUCGGAGAACCACGUAAAGGGAAGGCUCCGUCUGAUCACAGCACAUUUCCCCCAAUCUCAGGGAGCCUGGGUUUUAAUAGGCUGUUUUUCUGGGCAUUUACUCAAGUUCCAUGGCGACAGAGGUCACUAUCCUCUGUGCUGACCAGUGCCUGGCACGCUUAAGAAAUCUUUGUUGACUGAAACAGCCUGCCUUGACCUCCUCAAGCUGCUCUAUUCUCUGAAUGUCCUGGAGAAGGUACCUCCAGCCAUAUUUCCACCUCAUCCUGACCUUGCCCACCCCCCAGGAAAACCACAGUAAAUGCGGGGAUGGCUUCUCACUGUGCAUGAAUGAAUGAAGUCACUCAGUCGUGUCGGACUCUUUGUGACCUCAUGGACUGUACAGGCGCCUUCAUCCAUGGAAUUUUCCAGGCAAGGAUACUGGAGUGGGUUGCCAUUUCCUCACUGGGCAUAACCAGGUACAAAAUGAGGCGUCCAUAACUAACACUCCAGACCACUGCUGAAGGAAUGCCUAAUGUUCUGUCGUGGUGGCAAAAUUAAUCUGUGUGCAAUUAAACAUUCCUCCCUUUGACAACAUUCCCAGGAGUACUCAGAACAGAGCAGGGCUCAGUAUUAAAUUCUCAACUCUUCAAGUUUAGGGGGUGCUGCCCCGAAUCUCUCUCUCCUCCUCUGGCUCUGUUGUGUUCCAUGAGUUCCCUGCUUAUGUUAGUGACACAGGCCCUGCAUUCCAGGUGAGUCAGUCACUUAAGCCCUGUGUGUCCAAGAUGCCGCCAAUUCACUUGCUUGCCACCCCUGCCCCCCACCC